Molecule: ribosomal RNA, 497 nt
Filed under: uncultured bacterium
Lineage: Bacteria
Description: bacterial SSU rRNA
Rfam family: Bacterial small subunit ribosomal RNA
Source: RNAcentral
GAUGAACGCUAGCGGCAGGCCUAGUACAUGCAAGACGAACGGUAAGUUGAGUAGCAAUACUUAGCCAAGAGUGUCGUACGGGUGCGUAACACGUAUGCAACCUACCCUAUACAGGAGGAUAGCCUAGGGAAACCUGGAUUAACCCUUCAUAGUAUUAUUGGAUGGCAUCAUUUGAUAAUUAAAACUGAGGUGGUAUAGGAUGGGCAUGCGUCUGAUUAGUUAGUUGGCGGGGUAAUGGCCCACCAAGACGAUGAUCAGUAGGGGUUCUGAGAGGAAGAUCCCCCCACACUGGCACUGAGAUACGGGCCAGACUCCUACGGGAGCAGCAGUAGGGAAUAUUGGUCAAUGGAUGCAAGUCUGAACCAGCCAUGCCGCGUGCAGGAAGAAGGCCUUCUGGGUUGUAAACUGCUUUUGCCGGGGGAUAAAAGAUCCAUGCGUGGAGAAUUGAAGGUACCCGGUGAAUAAGCCACGGCUAACUACGUGCCAGCAGCCGCGGU